This is a long non-coding RNA of Gavia stellata (red-throated loon), 1462 nucleotides long. RefSeq lists it as uncharacterized. The record is from RefSeq and is a predicted model, not a curated record. The transcript is spliced from 4 exons. Lineage: Eukaryota; Metazoa; Chordata; Aves; Gaviiformes; Gaviidae.
GCACCGAUGGAGACCCCCCCAAAGCCAGCGCGUGCAGGAUGGCGAUACUUCUUUUACCUGCCUCAUCUGCGGAUAAAUUGUAAUGAAUGCAGUUGACUACUAAGCACAAGUUCUGUUGAGAGUGUGCGAGCUGGGAGGAAGGUCAUGCUGGAUCUAGCUUAAGGUGUGAACAGAGGUGGCCACUGGGCUGAGGCUUCACAAAGGAAGGUUUGGUCUGGAAUUUGUUUUCGUGGCACAGCAUCUCAGACAACUCCGUCUGGGACAGAAGCAGCUAAAGAGGAGGAAACCCUGAAGAGCCUCGUGGAUGUUGUGCAGCAAGUAAUGCGAAAGGUUCCCACGCAGGGCCCACCAGCUCAGCAUUCAGCCGUUACACCCACUCUUAAUGAUACCGUCGAGGCUCUUUGGGUAAAAGUAUACAGGAAACAUGCUAAAAAGCAAAAAAACCUAGAAAACAUCACAAUGACAAGAAAACCUGCUCCAUCUACAACACCAUCAGUUUUGACACUCCAAACUGACCCAGAUAUUUCGGUUGUUUUAUGUGUUGGUGAGUCGCCUCAGCUGACAACAGCACUGGAAGAGCUAGCCUUAAUAUUUCAAACUGCUGCUGCAAAAAAGAGACAUAAGACUCUUGAUCAGUUAAUAAAUGGAUUUAGUGGAAUCUUGGAAGAAUGUUUUAAAAAAAGGAAUGUUAAAUAUCACAAUUAAAUUUGAAAACCCAAAACCUACCAGCAAAACGAUGAAAAAGGUUGCAUGGGUCUAAGAAGGUGGAACAUCAAGCUGCAGGCAGUCGUCUUGGGAAUGAUUGAAAUGUUACAGACAGCAGCAGAGAAUGCAUCCGAGGGCGUUACACAAACCAAAUCUCAAUGGGCAUGUUGAAUUGGCUGAAAUCUAGAUGGCAAAAGCUCAGGCACUAGAAAAGCAGUAGAGAAUUUUUAAGAACAACAGUAUAAUUUUUCUGAUGCUUCCUCUGCUCCUCCCUCUCCAUCUCUGUCUGUCCACUAGGUCUAGGAGAGAGCUCAGCUGAAACCAAGAGAAGAUCUUUUGAUUAACCUGCUUUACAAUUUUAGUCCUCAGUUAAAUACAUAUAUUGAUAGUUAUGUUGAGAAAAAUAUUCCAGCUUGUAAGAACGGUGAAAACACUCUAAAAAACUAGUUAAAUUCUAAUAUCUGGAAUAUUGUCAUUGUCUUUCCUUGAGGUUUAAAAAAUCGAUUUUCAGUUUUGUCAUCACCCAAACCAGAUAUAACUGUAUUUGUCCCAGUACUUAAAUGUUACCAUUUUUAGAUGUUUUUACUCACAUCUGUUAUGUGACAAUGGUAAAUUGGACCGUAGUGAAAUAAAGAGCAAUGCUCAGUGGGCUUUUCCAAAUUUUGCUGUGUUUCAUAUGUGCGUAUAAGAUGACAAUGCAAGUCACUCAUAUUUUUAGAAUACACUUGAUGUUCUACACUAAUGGCACAAUAAUAAA